CCUACGGGUGGCAGCAGUGGGGAAUAUUGGGCAAUGGGCGCAAGCCUGACCCAGCAACGCCGCGUGAAGGAAGAAGGCUUUCUGGUUGUAAACUUCUUUUUACAGGGAAGAGUAGCAGGCUAUACGUGUCGAAUAAUCCGCGGCUAACUACUUGCCAGCAGCCGCGGUCAUACGUAGGUGGCAAGCGUUGUCCGGAUUUACUGGGUGUAAAGGGCGUGUAGCCGGGUUGACAAGUCAGAUGUGAAAUCCUGCGGCUUAACCGCAGAACUGCAUUUGAAACUGUUGAUCUUGAGUACUGGAGAGGCAGACGGAAUUCCUAGUGUAGCGGUGAAAUGCGUAGAGAUUAGGAGGAACACCAGUGGCGAAGGCGGGCUGCUGGACAGCAACUGACGGUGAGGCGCGAAAGCGCGGGGAGCAAACAGGAUUAGAUACCCUUGUAGUC
This 442-nucleotide ribosomal RNA is filed under the name uncultured bacterium. Its description in RNAcentral is "partial 16S ribosomal RNA". It matches the Rfam family "Bacterial small subunit ribosomal RNA", at positions 338 to 795 of the family's 1533-position model. The record is from RNAcentral.